GAUGAACGCUGGCGGCGUGCCUAAUACAUGCAAGUCGAGCGAACAGAUAAGGAGCUUGCUCCUUUGACGUUAGCGGCGGACGGGUGAGUAACACGUGGGUAACCUACCUAUAAGACUGGCAUAACUCCGGGAAACCGGGGCUAAUGCCGGAUAACAUUUAGAACCGCAUGGUUCUAAAGUGAAAGAUGGUUUUGCUAUCACUUAUAGAUGGACCCGCGCCGUAUUAGCUAGUUGGUAAGGUAACGGCUUACCAAGGCAACGAUACGUAGCCGACCUGAGAGGGUGAUCGGCCACACUGGAACUGAGACACGGUCCAGACUCCUACGGGAGGCAGCAGUAGGGAAUCUUCCGCAAUGGGCGAAAGCCUGACGGAGCAACGCCGCGUGAGUGAUGAAGGUCUUCGGAUCGUAAAACUCUGUUAUUAGGGAAGAACAAAUGUGUAAGUAACUGUGCACGUCUUGACGGUACCUAAUCAGAAAGCCACGGCUAACUACGUG
RNAcentral lists this ribosomal RNA (497 nucleotides) under uncultured bacterium. Its description in RNAcentral is "partial 16S ribosomal RNA". It matches the Rfam family "Bacterial small subunit ribosomal RNA", at positions 28 to 507 of the family's 1533-position model. The record is from RNAcentral.